RNAcentral lists this long non-coding RNA (858 nucleotides) under Phoenix dactylifera (date palm). RNAcentral describes it as "long non-coding RNA (PDAC_LNC012262)". Lineage: Eukaryota; Viridiplantae; Streptophyta; Magnoliopsida; Arecales; Arecaceae. The record is from RNAcentral.
AAAAAAAGAAAUAGAUAUGCUAAUGUAGAACAAAUUGGAACAAUUCCUAUGGUCUUUGUUUCACAGCUUUGUUCUAUAGAAAAGAACAAAUAAACACGUUAUUGAAAUUGUAUAUUUUUGUAAUAAAAUGAUAUUGGCAACAUGAACUUAUAGGGUUAAUUGGCAACCUAGUCAUCGAUCUUAUGAGGAGCAAUGGGACAACAUUGAGAAAUAUAUAAAAAAGAUUAUGUCCAAUUUCAAUUGAUCUUAAUUAGAAUGAUCACACACUAAUGAUAAGAAAGGGGAGAAGAUGAUGUUUGAGCAACAUAUGUGCAUGGAAAUGUUAAAGCCUUGUUUGGAUGGAGAGAAGUAGAGAGAAAAAGAGGAGAGAAGGUGACAAUCCCAUUUUUGGUAGAGAUAAGAGGAGAAAGUUUCACUGGUUAGGUAUUCACCAAGGAGAUAAAAGAAGAGAGUUAAAAUCCCAUCCUUGGAUAGUCCAUUUCUAAAUCCACAUUUUUAAUCUCUUUGAAAGUGGAGAGAUUUGAAAAGAAGGGAAAUUCCACUUCACUUGCAGUCAAAGUUGUUUUUUGUUCCUUUCUCUUUUUAUCAGAUCCGUAAUUCCCAUCUCUUCCUUUUUUCUCUCUUGCUUCCCUACAUUUAUUUUCUCUCCUCCCCUAUUUAUCCAGACAGGGUCCUAUGAUGCGUAGCUGGUAGUAAAAUUUUAGCGAAUAUAUUGCUUGAGGUGCUAAACAUGCAAGAGAAAGAGCAAGCAGAAUGACUACUAGUCCAGUUUUGCAAAACUCUAUAGACUCUAUUUACCUAUCAACUAGAUUUAUAACAAAUAAGCGAAAACCCAAGACAUGAAGCAUGAGAACCAGU